Non-coding RNA from Ictalurus punctatus (channel catfish), 593 nucleotides. The record is from the annotation of a RefSeq genome assembly. NCBI's taxonomy places the organism in Eukaryota, Metazoa, Chordata, Actinopteri, Siluriformes, Ictaluridae.
AGGAUAGUACAAAAUCAGAAUUCAGCAUGUGAUACGAAGACUUGAGAUGGUUUUGAUGUCAUUUCCUCCAGCUGAUCCUCAACAGGAUACAUUUGCAGCAAUUGGUGGUGCUCUUCUUUUCUCCUGCAACCAGCACAAACCAGUAUGAUCAGUGUUAUAAUCAGUCUGACUUUCCUGCUUUACUGGAAAUCAGUUUUAGCAGGAGAGAAUGGAGUCACCCAAAACCCCAGCGUCGCCUGGCAUCUGAAAGGAGAAUCUGCUGAAAUGAAGUGCAGUCAUAAUAAAGGUUCUGGCUAUUAUCAGAUGUACUGGUACAGACAGCGCCAAGGAGAGAGUAUGGAGUUCAUCGUGUACACAACAACCAGUGAAUCAGACUUUGGCUCAGUUGAUAAAAAUAAAUUUUCUACUGUUAAAAAAAUUGCUGCAAAUGGAUCAUUAACUGUGAAGGAUCUGGAUACAGAGGACAGCGCUGUAUAUUUCUGUGCAGUUAAAGAACACAGUGUUACAGAGUUACAGCAGUGCUGAACAAAAACACCCGCACUGAUAUUACUGCAGUAACUAAUACCACAGACAGAGGGAGUCCUAAUGUAACA